This 1139-nucleotide long non-coding RNA is filed under the name Piliocolobus tephrosceles (Ugandan red Colobus). Its description in RNAcentral is "lncRNA (ENSPTEG00000028680.1)". The record is from RNAcentral. Lineage: Eukaryota; Metazoa; Chordata; Mammalia; Primates; Cercopithecidae.
AUAUAAUGGAUCACUUAGAUUAAUUAUAUUACACUAAUUUAUUAUUAAUCAAAAAAAAUUUUAAAUUAAAGUAUAAAGAGGUAAUAAUUAAACAGGGAACCUAUGUAUGUGGGUUUGUAAGUGUGGAUAUAUUUGUAUAAACACGUAGGAAUAUUAAAAUAUAUAUAUAUAUAUAUAUAUAUAUAUAUAUAUAUCAUUUUAAAUAGCUUUCAAAUUGCCUAAAAUAUUGAAUAUAUAAAAAAAUUAAAUUUUUAUUACACAAAUAGUAAUAAUAAAUAAUAUAGUAUAUACAUAUAUAUGUGUAAACAUUAGUAUUCCUUUUUUUUUUUUAGCAUUUGGCAUUUAUUAUUUAAUAUAUAGCUAAUAAUUGAGUUUAAUUUGCUUAAUAGCAUAGUUGAAUAAGUAUUUACACAAAACUUAUAAAAAACAUUUACAUAUCGGUAUGUUUUAAAUGUGUGUAUAAAUAUAUUUAAAAACUGCUAGGAAAGUUUUGUUUUAUUAAAAUAUAUUUUAAAAAAAUAAAAAUAACAUACAUUUUUCAUUUAAUAAAAAAUUAAAAAUAAAAAAAAUAUGUAAAUGCUAAAACCACAUACAUAUAAUUAAAAUAUUAAUCAGUUAAUAUAUUAAUAAAUUUCAGAAUUAAAAAAAUUAUGUUUAAAUGUAAUCAUUUAUGUAUCUUUUUUUUUUUUUUUUUUUUUUUUUUUUUUUUUUUUUUUUUUUUUUUUUUUUUUUUUUUUUUUUUUUUUUUUUUUUUCCAACCUCGUAUCUUCAAAAUGAAUACUAAAAGUAGUAAAAUUAGUCAACAAGAACAAUCAGAAACGUUGUCGCUUAUAAAGAAGCAAUUUUUCAAAACUAAGAUGUGCCCUUUUCAAAAAAAUAAGAAUUAUUGUUUAAAUGAGUUGAAUUGUCAUUAUGCUCAUAGUCUUGAUGAAUUAAAGCCAAUGCCAGAUUUGAGAAACACGAAAUUAUGUGAUUAUGUAAAAAAAAAAUUACCUUGCAAAGACCCCAAUUGUAAAUUUGCCCACGAUAUUGAUACUUUAAAACCUAGUAUACAUUUAGCAACGUACAAAUCUACUAUAUGUAGUUUUUGGGGUAAGGGUAAAUGUUUUAAUGGUGAUAAAUGUAGAUUUGCACAUGGU